Molecule: ribosomal RNA, 253 nt
Filed under: uncultured prokaryote
Description: partial 16S ribosomal RNA
Rfam family: Bacterial small subunit ribosomal RNA
Source: RNAcentral
UACAGAGGUGGCAAGCGUUGUUCGGAAUUACUGGGCGUAAAGGGCGCGUAGGUGGCCGAGCAAGGUCGCGGUGAAAGCCCGGGGCUCAACCCCGGGUCGGCCGUGCGGACUGCCGGGCUGGAGCACUGUAGAGGCAGGUGGAAUUCCGGGUGUAGCGGUGGAAUGCGUAGAGAUCUGGAAGAACACCGGUGGCGAAGGCGGCCUGCUGGGCAGUAGCUGACGCUGAAGCGCGACAGCGUGGGGAGCAAACAGG